GUCUAUGGCCAUGCUACCCUGAACAAGCCCAAUCGCAUCUGAUCUCGGAAGCUAAGCGGGAUCAGGCCUGGUUAGUACUUGGAUGGGAGACCACCUAGGAAGAUCAGGUGCUAUAGGCG
Molecule: non-coding RNA, 119 nt
Organism: Pteropus alecto (black flying fox)
Lineage: Eukaryota; Metazoa; Chordata; Mammalia; Chiroptera; Pteropodidae
Source: Rfam